AAUUGCUGCUCGGUGGCAUCGCCUUCGGAUGUGCUCGACACCACCAGCGGGAGCCGGGGAGGUAGUGCGCCACCCGGGAGCAGACAGCUUGGAAAUGGAUCGUCUCCACCGCCGGCGACAUCGUCGGCUGAAAGGAGAAGCUCGAGGAUCCGUUCCUGGUACUUGGAGGAUUGAACAGAGUAAUUUAGUGAUCAAUUUGUGAUGAUGAUCGUGCAGUAAAGAGUUGCGAGCCAGAGUUUCUGAUAUCUUCUUGAACUUGUCUUUAAAAGCUAUCGACAUAUCGGGCGUUUCGAUGGUGGUCAUUGAUGGACUGAAAUGUUUCAUGGACCUUAAUCUUCCAUUACAGACGACAUUCUUAGCGGAAGUUCCUCUUGCCAAAUCCUUGACUGGGGUUCUCAAAAUCUGUGGUCAGGUGCUGCCUGAAUUUCUUUAAAAUUUACAAUCCUCGUAGCAGGAUUGGCUUUUACUUGUUAACUGUCAUAUUAUAACAUCACUCAUGCUCUUCUUGUCACCAAGCAGAUUUGUCACUGCUGUAAGUUUUGACUGUUUUGUGUUCCUUUUCAUCUAAUUCUCAUGUGUCUUCAUUAAUGAUACACUUUUCGUUGGAGUAGUUCUUAACUUCUUGUUUUGAAAAUGCAGUUAAGUACUUUGCCUGUAAGAAGUUAUACUCAAUGCAUCCAAUGUUGUCAGACGAAGAAGUUACAGUAACAAGGUGCAGACUGCUAAAGUCACCGACUUCUAUGAUUGUGAUCCAGCAAAUCCUGGACAGCCCUUUGCACCAUUCCUCUUUUUCAAGCGAAGCAAAAAAAGACAAUGAUCCAAGCAAAGAUAUUCCUUCUCAUCUCCAUCUUCGGAGACGAAUAAACAUGGACACUUGAUGCAGAAGCCUGUCUUGGAGAAACAUCUCUGAUGGAUGGACGAGGCAAUUCAGCAGAGCCCUUCUUUGUCAUGACUACCAUAUCUGUCUCUCUGCACAACUCAGAUCUUCUCCACAGGUAACUAAAAUAGUUAAGAGCACAUGAUUAAGCAUGCAUUAAACUAGUCAAGUACCCUCCUUUUGGCAGCAAGCUCGAUCGAGCUUAUCGUAAUCCCUGUGCAAAGGUAGUUCAGGCCAAAAACAGAUACAUUGAUUAAUUGGGUUAGCACAAGUAUUAAAUUUGCAAGUUGACACUUAAAGAGGGGCGAUGAUGCAUCGCAUCUCUUGCAAGCUUGCCUCCAUGGCCAUCCAAGCCUGUCAGCGUCACUGAUUAUACUAAUUAAGCAUGCAGUGUAAUCAUGCUUUCAUGCUCCAUUUGUUUUGUUGUUUGUGUUGAUUGAUUGGUGUGCGAGAGUCCUAUUUUUUCAUGAAAAACUUUGUGCCCGCUCCUUUUCCUUCGAUUUGGAGAUCGGCCAAGUUCGCCUUUUUAUUAUGAGGCGUGGAGAAUGUCGUGUUAAAAAAUACUGUAUGCAAGGACAUAGGGCAGAGGAAUACCUGCUUAUAAAAUACGGCUUAUGAAAAGAGUAGCCUAUCAGUUUGUCA
Molecule: non-coding RNA, 1519 nt
Organism: Oryza sativa Japonica Group (Japanese rice)
Lineage: Eukaryota; Viridiplantae; Streptophyta; Magnoliopsida; Poales; Poaceae
Source: RefSeq, a predicted model, not a curated record